AAGACACCUGAUUGGUUUACAAAAUGAUAGAUGCAUGUCCAAUGAUUCAUUGGUUGAUCCAUUACACAAAAUACCCAAUUGACAAGACACCAUAUAGGUUUACAAAAUGAUAAAAUACACAAUGUUUUUGCUUCAUUACACAAAAUGCCUAGCUGACGCAAACUGCCAUCUUCAUGCAUGCUUACUUCCUGGUCCUCUUGUAUGUCAUUCCUACAAAGGAUAAAAGGGUGACCGGUGAAUUCAUGGAUUCAUAGAGAUAAUGGAAAAAUAAUAAUUGUAUAAAGCGCCAAUGGGAAAAACAAACUGGGAUUUUAGUAUUAUAAAAACAGGGCAUGUUCUAAUUAGAAUCUGUGAUGGGUUAGACAUAAUAAAGCAUCAAUGCCACACCGACCCACCAUAUAGCCUGUAUGAAUCUCCUCAAGCCGCAGACCAGGAAGUAUAUUAAAUGGAAAAGGAGCAUAUGCAUCAUCUGGCCACAAGGCAACAAUUUAGCAUGUCCAGACACCCAAUUAUUGGGAGCAACACAUCCACCAACGGACACAUGAAAGUCAUUUUUGAAGAAAAGACUACACUAGUUCUUUUUCUUUUUGUUCUCUGGGAUGGAAAGACCGCACUUUGCUUCACUAGGUGGCAAUACAUUAGGCAAAAUGAUUACUAUCUAAUACACAGCUCGAAGUUUCAAUGAUGAGUGCAGCAUGGCCUGGGAAAAGCAUUCUCAAAAACCCACAUACAUCAAGAGGUUAUACAUACUUUCCCUAUGUUAGAAAUAAAUUUCAAUGAGAAGAAUCUAUCUGAAAUCAUAUCUAAAUGCGUUACUAAGCACAUGAGGACAUGCAAAAUACCAAACAGAAACAAAAAGUAUCUGAACUUACACUGCAUCUGACUAUUAUAUCCAUAAAAGCAUCGGAGAAAAGCAUCUAUACUUCAGUGCCACAAAUUAGAUUAAAUUGAUGACCGUCCUCUGAUCUCACUGCACUAAGUUUUGGCAAUUGCGGGACAGAUGUGGGCGAAUUAACAAUGACCUUUUUAGAACUAACUUGCUUAUGCCAUAUGCAUGGUAGGAUCACCAUUAAGCACCUGACUUGCUACUGCUCAGGAUUCAGAAACUGAGUAGAUUUCUCCUAUACAGUAGAAAAAUAUUGUUAGGUCGAGGAGGUAUGCACAUAAAUUAAUUUUCAAAUAGAUAUCAGCGCUUUAAAUGGAAUAUCAUGAAGCUUUCCUUCCCCACUAAAAAAACUGGGUCAAGUUUAUCUAAAGAAUGUUCACUUAUGAUAACCAAGAGAAACUAUCUGUACAUACAAGUGUUUUAGAAGCAACAAAUGGAGUACUAACAAAUUAAAGCCCUUAGCUACACUGCUGGUCCUUUGCUUUUUUUUAAAAAAAACUUGCAAGCAUUUCAUAUGUGAGUGGAGUCCUUCUUUUGUUCAGUCAAUCACAUGCUGCUAGAAAUAAUAGAAGACCUUAGCUACGUUCAUGGCAUAUCUUAAAAUGCAUCUAAGCUACACCAAUAUGAGUUUCUCUGCAAUGUACAGAUAAACAGUAAGAGAUGUAUUCAGAAAUAAGUAACAAAUUUCCCCAUAGAUACAAUGGCCUUAUAAACCAGAACAGUCUACAGUUGUUAAACCAUUCUCAUUGCAAAAUUGCCAAAAACUAAUAAGAAAAAUGCAACUGUAACAUCUAUAGAAAAAGACGGAUAAUAAAUUAGAACCAACUUUUCAUAUUUAGUCCAUUUUCGAAAACUACUGAAGAAAAAUAACAAAAAUACUACAGCUGGAAAUCUAUACAAGCGAAAAGGUAAAUUACAAAACCAAUUAAUACAUAUUAACUCUUCAUUCCAGAAGUGAACUAUUCUAGACGUUUUAUAGAACUAGUGAAGCAAAUUCACAGAAAAUACUACUGUAAACUCUAAAGUUCAGAAAUCAAUCACAACCAGUUCAUAGAAAAUUAGCUAACUAAGGUUUGCUGCAACAAUACUGAAAGGAAUACCUGUAGUAUAGACUCUUUUUGCAAUCGUA
This 2015-nucleotide long non-coding RNA is filed under the name Triticum aestivum (bread wheat). RNAcentral describes it as "long non-coding RNA (TAES_LNC011564)". Lineage: Eukaryota; Viridiplantae; Streptophyta; Magnoliopsida; Poales; Poaceae. The record is from RNAcentral.